Molecule: non-coding RNA, 28 nt
Filed under: Rattus norvegicus (Norway rat)
Lineage: Eukaryota; Metazoa; Chordata; Mammalia; Rodentia; Muridae
Source: RNAcentral
UGAUUAUUGAGUGAAUUCAGGCGACACU